Molecule: long non-coding RNA, 1570 nt
Organism: Carassius gibelio (silver crucian carp)
Lineage: Eukaryota; Metazoa; Chordata; Actinopteri; Cypriniformes; Cyprinidae
Exons: 3
Source: RefSeq, a predicted model, not a curated record
CUACUUUUGCGAACUAGUCCUAGGAUUUUCAACCAAUCAGAACCAAACCACUUCAUAAAUAUUCCCUGGACACUCAAUAUCAAUAAUUAUUAAAAAAAAGUUGAAAUUUCAAUUCUUACGCGAAACAGUACGCCAAAAAGCGUCUAUGCUAACGUUAGCCAAAUACUAUUUUGACUAUAACUCUUGAACGGAAUGAGAUAUCUUCACCAAACUCGGUACACAUAUGUAUGAGCUCAAUCUUUGGUCAAAUCAAAAAAAUUGCGCAUCUCUGCCACUUGGGGGCGCUAUAAGAUAGAAAAAACACAUAAAUUGCUAUAACUAGGCAACCGUUGGCUCGAUCAACUUGAAAAUCGGUAUGCAGUGUCUUGGUCUGAAGGGGCACAAGUACUUAUGAGGACAUUUGCAUAUCUCAAAAAACAUGGCCGUCAUUGGCCAAACAAAUUUAAGCACCUAUUUGAAAGGGUUAACGGAUGUUGAUCGGAACGAAACUCGCUGGGUACGUUCGACUCAUGAACCUUAAGGUCUGUAAGAAUUUUGAAAGAAAUCGGCCACUAGUUGGCGCUAACGAGUUUUAUGGCUCUGUAAUCACGUGGUGUUUCACAUAUCAACACAAUAUGCAUAUCAUUUGAUAGAUCUCCUCGUAAUGCACAACUUUGCCUCAAGAACCAUUGCUGUCAAUCAAAUCGUUCAAUUGUUAUUCACAAAUAUGUUAAAAACCUACUUUUGCGAACUAGUCCUAGGUUUUUUGCCCGAUCGGAACCAAACCACUGCAGUAAUAUUCUGUGGACUCUCUAGAUCAAUAAUUAUUAAAAAAAUGUUGAAUUUUGUCCUUUGGUUAGCUGUAACCGGGUAAUUUAGAAAAAGGGGUGUGGCCAAACAUACCCCAAAGCCUAUAAAACCUAAAGGAAAACUCAAAACUGUAUGAAACUCAGUGAAAUCAUGUAUCAGGUGACUCUUAACAAGCAUGCAAAGUUUCAUGGAGAUCAGACCAUAGGUGGCGCUAUAACAGUAGAAAAGGUCUCAAAACACAAGAUUUAUAUGGUAAAUGGCCCCAAAUUGUUUGAAAAUGCUCAUAUAUUCACUCAAAAACACUAAAUCUUCAUAUCAUAUGAUAGAUCUCCUCAUUCUGAACAACUUUGCCUCUGGGACCAAUGUUGUCAAUAAAGCUGUUAAUUAAAUAUUCAAGAUUAUUUUAAAAAGUUACUUUGGCAUACUUGUGAUACGGUUUAAGAUGAAAAUCAAUAAAACCACUGAAGUACAAUUCUGUAGACUCUGAAGGUCAAUAAUUAUCAAAAACAUGUUGAACAACUGCAUUUGGACAACUAUAAACCAGUAAUUUUAUAAUAUGUUCUUUUCAUAGUGUACACAAAGGCCUAUUAAUACAAACAGAAAGCCCACAAAUUAUCAAAACUGUGUAAAACAAUGCAUAAUUUCAUUCUAAACAAGCAUGCAAAAUUUAAGAGAGAUUGGGCAAAAAAAAAAAAAAACACUAUAACAGUUAUGUUUAAAAACAGUGUUGCUUGAGUAAAUGCAAUUUAUAACCUCUAGAUGGCAGUGGAAGACCACUAAU